CCCUUAGAUGUUCUGGGCCGCACGCGCGCUACACUGACUGGUGCAACGAGUGAUUGACCUUGUCCGAUAGGACUGGGUAAUCUGUGAACGCCAGUCGUGAUGGGGAUAGAUUCUUGGAAUUAUUAAUCUUCAACGAGGAAUUCCUAGUAAACGCAAGUCAUCAGCUUGCAUUGAUUACGUCCCUGCCCUUUGUACACACCGCCCGUCGCACCUACCGAUUGAACGGUCCGGUGAAAUCUUGGGAUUUGCAUGUUGUUGAUUGAUUUCAUGGCGUGCGAAGAACUUGAGUAAACCUUACCGUUUAGAGGAAGGUGAAGUCGUAACA
RNAcentral lists this ribosomal RNA (325 nucleotides) under uncultured eukaryote. Its description in RNAcentral is "partial 18S ribosomal RNA". It matches the Rfam family "Eukaryotic small subunit ribosomal RNA", at positions 1470 to 1796 of the family's 1831-position model. The record is from RNAcentral.